GCAGGCUGUUCAUUGUCAGAGCCUGUCAGAGCUUCCCUGUCAAAAAACAUCGUCGCCAUCACAAUACUCAGCCCCACAGCCCGCGCUGGCAUUUUCGACACUAGAUCACGGGCUGGCGGGUGACACAGGCAGCCAGACGAGGCACGAAAGCAACAAACGCAUCAGCAUUAACACUGAGGGAAACACUAUUGUGCUUUUUCCUAAAGCUAAAGAUGUUUUUCUUAUUCUUCUUUUCAACAGCAACCACAAUGUGCCUGAGAAAACCUGACCUUACUGACCUCUUUCAUGCGAUCUUAAAGACUCAUCUUUGACAUGAGCUGACCUUUUACACGCAAGAGAGGGAUGGAGCCACAACAGAGGGAAUUGAGACGGACUGGAAUAUUAAUCAAGAUACAGUUCAGUCAGACAAAUCACAGUAUCGUGUUUGGCAUCCAGGCUUUACUCUCAUCACACCUGGCAGCUUUAUCACGAUAUUAAAAAUAUUUUUUGUAUAUCCAUCCAUCCAUUUUAUACCGCUUAUUCCCGUUCCCAGGUCACGGGGGGACUGGAGCCGAUCCCAGCAUCUUCGGGCGAAAGCAGGGGACACCCUGGACAAGUCGCCAGUUCAUCGCAGGGCUGACAU
Molecule: non-coding RNA, 622 nt
Organism: Xyrichtys novacula (pearly razorfish)
Lineage: Eukaryota; Metazoa; Chordata; Actinopteri; Labriformes; Labridae
Source: the annotation of a GenBank genome assembly